This 1728-nucleotide ribosomal RNA is filed under the name Myxobolus sp. d XZ-2022. RNAcentral's name for it is "SSU rRNA". It matches the Rfam family "Eukaryotic small subunit ribosomal RNA", at positions 305 to 1808 of the family's 1831-position model. Lineage: Eukaryota; Metazoa; Cnidaria; Myxozoa; Bivalvulida; Myxobolidae. The record is from RNAcentral.
UUCUGCCCUAUCAACUUGUUGGUAAGGUAUUGGCUUACCAAGGUUGCAACGGGUAACGGGGAAUCAGGGUUCGAUUCCGGAGAGGGAGCCUGAGAAACGGCUACCACAUCCAAGGAAGGCAACAGGCGCGGAAAUUACCCAAUCUAGACAGUAGGAGGUGGUGAAGAGAAUUACUAAGUGGUGGUCGAAUGAUCACUUGUUUGGAAUGAACGUAACUUAAGAAAUUCGUUGAGAAACAACUGGAGGGCAAGUCCUGGUGCCAGCAGCCGCGGUAAUUCCAGCUCCAGUAGUUUGCUUUAAAGUUGUUGCGUUUAAAACGCUCGUAGUUGGAUCACGCAGCAGUGUUUGGUAAUCUAGAGCGGGAGGAUGUCGGUGGCCCGUCUCUGACGGACAUGCGGCGAAUUUUGCGAUAGAUGUUGUGCCAAAUGCUGUUAGUUGCACGUGAGAUAGGGUGUUGGCCUUGAAUGAGCCGGUACCCUGGUCUUUCGGGGUGUGCCUUGAAUAAAACAGAGUGCUUAAAGCAGGUAAUUGCCUGAAUGUUAUAGCAUGGAACGAACAAUCGUGUAUAUGUGCGCGUGAUUGAGUGCUGGUCGGCCUUUGGUUGGCUAGUGCUUGAGACGCGCACGGCACCCACCAAAAUAUGGCUGUUGGUUCCAUAUACGGUGAUGAUUAAAAGGAGCGGUUGGGGGCAUCGGUAUUUGGCCGCGAGAGGUGAAAUUCUUAGACCGGCCAAGGACUAACAAAUGCAAAGGCACUUGUCCAGACCGUAUCCAUUAAUCAAGAACGAAAGUGGGAGGUUCGAAGACGAUCAGAUACCGUCAUAGUUCCCACCGUAAACUAUGCCGACCUGGGAUCAGUUUGGAGAUGUUACAAGCUCUAGAUUGGUCCCCCUGGGAAACCUAAAGUUUUUCGGUUACGGGGAGAGUAUGGUCGCAAGGCUGAAACUUAAAGGAAUUGACGGAAGGGCACCACCAGGGGUGGAGCCUGCGGCUUAAUUUGACUCAACACGGGGAAACUUACCUGGUCCGGACAUCGAUAGGAUUAACAGAUCAAUAGCUCUUUUAUGAUACGAUGAGUGGUGGUGCAUGGCCGUUCUUAGUUCGUGGAGUGAUCUGUCGGCUCAAUUGCGGUAACGGACGAGACUACAGUCUCCAUUUAAGAGAUCGAAGCAGGCGUGGAGUGACCGAUUCUCACGAUGAGGCCGUUCUACGCCGCAGGAAGUGUGGUGUAUUUUGUCGAUGAGCGUAGUUGGGCGACUGGCUGUGCGCGUUGGCAGAGUGUGCUAUAUCUCCCUUCGAUCACGCAGCACUUAGAUCCACCGAGUGUUGCCUUAUGGAGAGACAACGAGGUAUAACCAAGCUCGAGGAAGAGUGGCUAUAACAGGUCAGUGAUGCCCUUCGAUGUUCAGGGCUGCACGCGCGCUACAAUGAUGACGGCGACAAGUGUCUGCGUCGAAAGACGUGGGUAAUCUCGAAUGGUCAUCGUGAUGGGGAUUGACCGUUGUAAUUAUCGGUCAUGAAAGAGGAAUCCCUAGUAUGCGCAUUUUAUUAGAAUGUGCAGAUUGAGUCCCUGCCCUUUGUACACACCGCCCGUCGCUACUACCGAGUGAAUGGUGUCAUGAUGCGCUCGGACUGACGGUCAGCUGGGUCUUCGGGCUCGGUCGAUGUUGGGAUGAGCGUAAAAUGGCGCAAUUUCGAGGAAGUAAAAGUCGUAACAAGGUUUCCGUAG